Molecule: long non-coding RNA, 3842 nt
Organism: Physeter macrocephalus (sperm whale)
Lineage: Eukaryota; Metazoa; Chordata; Mammalia; Artiodactyla; Physeteridae
Exons: 3
Source: RefSeq, a predicted model, not a curated record
GAAUAACUUUGCUGUACACCAGAAACUAACACAUCAUUGUAAAUCAACUAUACUUCAAAGAAAAUUAUCUUUGUACUUUAAAAAAAACAAACGCUCCUAGUGACAUUGAAACAACCCAAUGUCCAUCAAUAAUAGAAUAGAUCAUGAAUUGGGUAUAUUGAUGUAAUGGAAUAAUAUGGCAUGAAUGGUAGUAAACUCUCAGAGACAACAACACGGAUAAAUACCACAAACACAAUGCUGAGCUUUUAAAAGAAAUAAGACACAAAAGAAUGCAUACACUAUUAUUCAACUCAUAUAAAAUUUAGAAACAGAAAAAGCUAAGCUAUACUGUUCAAAGGAUGUAUUUGUUUUUAAGGACUCGUAUGUGCUAUAUCUUACCAUUUAAAAAACAAGAAUGAGAAAGAGCUAUUCAACAAAAACUUUUCUUAAGCAUGAUUAUGGGUGGCCACAUCCUGUGCCAUCCCCGGAUGGACCCCGCUCAGAAGUCACUUUCUUACAAGGCCUUUGGGACCACUCAGACUACACUAGCCCAACCUCAUCACUUUCAUUUCUUCAUAGCACUUCUCACCACACAAAAACAUCGUGAUCAUUCACGUUUUACUUGGUAAUAGUCUAUCUCCUCCAUGGAGGAAAAAAGGAGAAUGGGAACUGAAGAAGUAGAUACAGAGGAGAUAAACAACUACUUCCAUAAUUUCUUUUUUCCGAGGGAGAAUAGAAAUGUAGCAGGAGAUGGACAAGGAGCCAAGGGAGAUCCUUUUCCUCUUCUUUUUUUAAGAUGAAUCCUGAUAAGACAUAGGAAAGCCUGGGAACCACUAUCUCCUGCAAUCUUCACCCAAGUAAGGGUCCAAUUCACAGGAACCACGUGCCCUGCUGAUUAACAACUCGGGCCACAGCAAGAGGUGGAUCUGGCCUCCAAGCCCCUCUCCAUGACCAGCUGACUCUGGCCAGGAAGGACUCCGAGGAAAUCAACUUCUCUUCUAUGUGACGGUUACCUCCAAAUUGAGCUCCAAAUUCUGCAGAGCUGUUGAUCACACCGGGAGGCUGUUGGGGAGCUCAGCCUCCCUGAGUCCCUCUCAGAGCCUCUACUUACUGCUGGAAACCUCUUCCCAAGGGAGGUCUCUCAUCUAAAGUCAUUUCCAUGGAGUCCAGAGAAUCUUCCUCAGGGGAAGCAACUUCGCCAUCCAGUGAAACAAGAGGCUGCUGAUCCCAUAUUCCCAGUAUAAGAUCCCCAUACAUGACCCUCUGCCUUACGUGCAUGUGCCAUCAUUCCAUCAUUCAACCAGCCAGCUUUAAGGGCAUGCUUGCCAAGCUACAUAGGCACUAAAGGGAGUGCAAAGGAAAUAUGAGGUCUGGACCUUAAGGACCUAAGGACACACGAUAAAGACACUCAAUAGCUUACGUGACCUCAGACAAAUCACUUCACCAUUCUAACCUUCAGUUUCCUCAGUGUGAAAAAGGGAUAGUAAUAACUCCCAAUGCAAGAGUUAUUGUGAGAAUUUAGUGAGAUGAUGCUAGCUGUUACUAUAGAAGAUACUCACACGCAGACACCCUUCUUCCUUGUUUUCAGAACCCCAAUUUUGUUCAAGAAAGCACUGUGCCUGCCCCAGACUCUGAAUUAAAAUUGAUAUGAUAUGGUCACAAUAAUCCUAUUCCUCUGUUAGAUACUGACUUUCCCAGCUUCCGUUGUGCCUGGGAAUGUCUAUUUGACCUUGCUCUGGCCUAUGAAAGUUAAGAGAAGUCAUCUGAGAGGCUUCUGGAAAUUUUUUUGCUUUCCUGUAAAGGAGGCAGGCAUGAGAUAAUACACGUAAGUGUCCCCAACCUGCGUGCACACACACACACAUUUUCUUUCAUCUUUCUUCCUUGAAUUCAGAUGCAAUGCUUGGAGCUGUGGUAGCUAUUUUGUGACCAUGAAGUGGUAAACGUGAAGGCAAUAGUCAAAAGCUAAGGACAGAGAAGCUGAAAUGAAGAAUGACCCUAGAUCCUUGAUGAGACCCUAGAGCUGAUGAACCAACCUCUGAAUGCCUUCCUCCAGAGUUCUUAAGUGAGAUAAUAAAUGCUUGAAUAUGUAAGCCACUAUUAAUCAGUUGUCACUCACAGCCUAAAGCAUCCCUAAUUGAUUCAAUGAUAUUGUCUAUUAUCGUCCACUCCAAGCUCCCAUUCACUGUUCCUUCUUUGACUUGGAGCAGGGAGCCAAGUACUUUGGCUAUGAGAGGCAGUACUUUGGACCAGGUCAUCCACAGUAAAGUUGAGCCCCUCUAUUAUUUUGCAUAAAGUCCUCCUCUACAAAGGAUCCCAGCACAAUCAGCAACAUGAGCAGCCCUUAGCCCCAUAUGGCUCAAAAAUGCUUCUCAGAGAUUCUUCCCAUAUGACACCAUAUUUGCGUCCCCCCGCCUUGACCAAUCCCAUGCUUCACGUGUCUCACAUGUUAUAUUAACACUAUUCUGGGUCAUGUCCUGGGCAUUCCACUCUGCUCCAAUGGAAAAACUUCUGAGAACCAGGUUUCACAAUUGCCCAUAAGGGCAGAGAGAUCUGAACAUGUGAUCAAAUGCAUAGAAACUUAACACAGUACUCAGCACAGUGGCUGGUACCUAGUCGUCUCUCAAUGAAAGGCCACUGUUAUUACCAUCAUCAUGACCAUUAUCACUAUAUAACACGGUUGCUGUCACUUCUAAAUUCAGCUCUUCCACAAAGGGAUAGACAAGCCCUACACUUCUGAGUCCACCCACCCUCUGUGACUUAGAGAUCAGGAUUCCUUCUGACAUGGUAUGUUCCUAGCGCUGGGGGGAAUACCAGGUGCUGGUAAGUGAGCAGGUGCCUGAUAGGUUACAUGAAGAAAGAGGCAGGACUUAGACUGACCAUUCAGGAGAUGAGUCAGGGCCAUGGUAAAGAAUCACACCCUAUCUUCCCAACCUGGACUGAAAGUCAGGAUGAAUUUUAUAUUAUUCAUAAAUACCCAACAAGUAUUUAUUGAGGUACAUGGCAAGUGCUCAAAAUUGUACUAUAAAAUUCCCAUGGAAAACAAGGGAGACAGUAAGAUAUAUACUGCAGAGGGGAUUUAUGGCUUGAUUAAAGGCAUUCAUUCCAGGAAAACAUCCUCAGGUUUCAGCCAUUCACUUUCCUGGAAUUCUUUUUUUUUGUUUUUGGGGUUUUUUUAAGUUUAUUUUUGGCUGUGUUGGGUCUUUGUUGCUGGGCGCAGGCUCUCUCUAGUUGCAGCAAGGAGGGGCUACUCUUCGUUGCAGUGCACGGGCUUCUCAUUACGGUGGCUUCUCUUGUUGUGGAGCACAGGCUCUAGGUGUGUGGGCUUCAGUAGUUGUGGCUCACAGGCUCUAGAGCGCAGGCUCAGUAGUUGUGGCACGCGGGCUUUGUUGCUCCGCGGCAUGUGGGAUCUUCCCGGACCAGGGCUCGAACCCGUGUCCCCUGCAUCGGCAGGCGGAUUCUUAACCACUGCGCCACCAGGGAAUUCCCACUUUCCCGGAAUUCUAACUGAGGUACCAAGCUGGAAGGGCCCCAAAGAUACACACCAAGCUUCCCAAAGAGCUCUCCUCUAAAAUGUACACUGCAGCUCUAUAAACAAGCCAAUCCAAGGCAACUAAAUGAUGAUGCGGUGGGACUCCCCUUUAUUUGGUACCAAAGCAACAAGCAAUCUCCUCGUGCCCUGGGUCGCCACCCAGCGCGGUGGGGAAAUACCCCAGUGAGUGGUGUUAGUGCAAAGGGGGCAGGACUGCAGCCAGGACACCUGUAUCUCCAUCUGCAAACCACCCUCGCCCCCACCACUAAAUCGCUGCACAACUACAGGCAGAUCACCAAGCCUCCCUGGGCCCCCAUCUCCCAACUUGUCAAGU